CCUACGGGCGGCAGCAGUGGGGAAUAUUGGACAAUGGGGGCAACCCUGAUCCAGCCAUGCCGCGUGUGUGAAGAAGGCCCUCGGGUUGUAAAGCACUUUCAGUGAGGAAGAACGCCUGGUGGUUAAUACCCAUCAGGAAAGACAUCACUCACAGAAGAAGCACCGGCUAACUCCGUGCCAGCAGCCGCGGUAAUACGGAGGGUGCGAGCGUUAAUCGGAAUUACUGGGCGUAAAGCGCGCGUAGGUGGCUUGAUAAGCCGGUUGUGAAAGCCCCGGGCUCAACCUGGGAACGGCAUCCGGAACCGUCAAGCUAGAGUGCAGGAGAGGAAGGUAGAAUUCCCGGUGUAGCGGUGAAAUGCGUAGAGAUCGGGAGGAAAACCAGUGGCGAAGGCGGCCUUCUGGACUGACAAUGACACUGAGGUGCGAAAGCGUGGGUAGCAAACAGGAUUAGAUACCCCGGUAGUC
RNAcentral lists this ribosomal RNA (465 nucleotides) under Vreelandella stevensii. RNAcentral describes it as "partial 16S ribosomal RNA". It matches the Rfam family "Bacterial small subunit ribosomal RNA", at positions 338 to 795 of the family's 1533-position model. The record is from RNAcentral. Lineage: Bacteria; Pseudomonadati; Pseudomonadota; Gammaproteobacteria; Oceanospirillales; Halomonadaceae.